RNAcentral lists this transfer RNA (94 nucleotides) under Streptomyces sp. NBRC 14336. Its description in RNAcentral is "tRNA-Pro". The record is from RNAcentral. Lineage: Bacteria; Bacillati; Actinomycetota; Actinomycetes; Kitasatosporales; Streptomycetaceae.
GGCAUCCUGGCCGACUUCAGCGGCAACCCGGUGUUCCUGGAGACCACCGACGGGCAGUUGCUGUACGCGGCCGGUUCGGGCCCGGAGAACGCCG